This 443-nucleotide ribosomal RNA is filed under the name uncultured bacterium. RNAcentral describes it as "partial 16S ribosomal RNA". It matches the Rfam family "Bacterial small subunit ribosomal RNA", at positions 338 to 795 of the family's 1533-position model. The record is from RNAcentral.
CCUACGGGAGGCUGCAGUGGGGAAUAUUGGGCAAUGGGCGCAAGCCUGACCCAGCAACGCCGCGUGAAGGAAGAAGGCUCUCGGGUUGUAAACUUCUUUUAUCAGGGACGAAGCAAGUGACGGUACCUGAUGAAUAAGCCACGGCUAACUACGGGCCAGCAGCCGCGGUAAUACGUAGGUGGCAAGCGUUAUUCGGAAUUACUGGGAGUAAAGGGCGGGGAGGCGGGAAAACAAGUCAGACGUGAAAACCCUGGGCUCAACACGUGGCCUGCCUUUGAAACUGUUUUUCGUGAGUACUGGAGAGGCAAGCGGAAUUCCUAGUGUAGCGGUGAAAUGCGGAGAGAUUAGGAGGAACACCAGUGGCGAAGGCGGUCUGCUGGACAGCAACUGACGCUGAGGCGCGAAAGCGUGGGUAGCAAACAGGAUUAGAUACCCAAGUAGUC